This 500-nucleotide ribosomal RNA is filed under the name uncultured Glomeromycotina. RNAcentral's name for it is "partial small subunit ribosomal RNA". It matches the Rfam family "Eukaryotic small subunit ribosomal RNA", at positions 591 to 1092 of the family's 1831-position model. The record is from RNAcentral. Lineage: Eukaryota; Fungi; Glomeromycota.
CCAAUAGCGUAUAUUAAAGUUGUUGCAGUUAAAAAGCUCGUAGUUGAAUUUCGGGAUCAAGGGAUUGGUCAUGCCUCGGUAUGCACUGGUCUUAUUGGUUCUCACCUUCUAAAGAACCAUGAUGUCAUUCAUUUGAUGUUAUGGGGAAUUAGGACUGUUACCUUGAAAAAAUUAGAGUGUUUAAAGCAAGCUUACGCUUGAAUACAUUAGCAUGGAAUAAUGAAAUAGGACAUCAGAUUCUAUUUUGUUGGUUCCUAGGAUCGAUGUAAUGAUUAAUAGGGAUAGUUGGGGGCAUUAGUAUUCAAUUGUCAGAGGUGAAAUUCUUGGAUUUAUUGAAGACUAACUACUGCGAAAGCAUUUGCCAAGGAUGUUUUCAUUAAUCAAGAACGAAAGUUAGGGGGAUCGAAGACGAUCAGAUACCGUCGUAGUCUUAACCAUAAACUAUGCCGACUAGGGAUCGGAUGAUGUUAAUUUUUUAAUGACUCAUUCGGCACCUUACG